CUAAGGCUCCGGAGGAAGCCACGGCUAACUCUGUGCCAGCAGCCGCGGUAAUACAGAGGCGGCAAGCGUUGUUCGGAAUUAUUGGGCGUAAAGAGCACGUAGGCGGCCGUGUAAGUCGGUUGUGAAAGCCUUCCGCUCAACGGGAGGACGGCAUCCGAUACUGCAUGGCUAGAGUGCGGGAGGGGAGAGUGGAACUUCUGGUGGAGCGGUGAAAUGCGUAGAUAUCAGAAGGAACACCGGCGGCGAAGGCGACUCUCUGGCCCGUAACUGACGCUGAGUGUGCGAAAGCUAGGGGAGCAAACGGGAUUAGAUACCCCGGUAGUCCUAGCCGUAAA
RNAcentral lists this ribosomal RNA (335 nucleotides) under uncultured Planctomycetales bacterium. RNAcentral's name for it is "bacterial SSU rRNA". It matches the Rfam family "Bacterial small subunit ribosomal RNA", at positions 473 to 806 of the family's 1533-position model. Lineage: Bacteria; Pseudomonadati; Planctomycetota; Planctomycetia; Planctomycetales. The record is from RNAcentral.